UUGAUUUUAGUUAUUUGUGAACUUACUACAAACAAAAAUAAUUUAUAGUCAAAAAAAAAAUUAAAUCA
This 68-nucleotide unclassified non-coding RNA is filed under the name soil metagenome. RNAcentral describes it as "partial internal transcribed spacer 1". The record is from RNAcentral.